CAAUAGCGUAUAUUAAAGUUGUUGCGGUUAAAAAGCUCGUAGUUGGAUUUCUGCUGAGAACGACCGGUCCGCCCUUUGGGUGUGUAUCUGGCUCUUUCUUGGCAUCUUCUUGGUGAACGUUGCUGCACUUGACUGUGUGGAGCGCUACCCAGGACUUUUACUCUGAGGAAAUUAGAGUGUUUCAAGCAGGCAUACGCCUUGAAUACAUUAGCAUGGAAUAAUAAGAUAGGACCUCGGUUCUAUUUUGUUGGUUUCUAGAGCUGAGGUAAUGAUUAAUAGGGAUAGUUGGGGGCAUUCGUAUUUAACUGUCAGAGGUGAAAUUCUUGGAUUUGUUAAAGACGGACUACUGCAAAAGCAUUUGCCAAGGAUGUUUUCAUUGA
RNAcentral lists this ribosomal RNA (380 nucleotides) under uncultured eukaryote. RNAcentral describes it as "partial 18S ribosomal RNA". It matches the Rfam family "Eukaryotic small subunit ribosomal RNA", at positions 592 to 976 of the family's 1831-position model. The record is from RNAcentral.